Molecule: ribosomal RNA, 729 nt
Filed under: uncultured eukaryote
Lineage: Eukaryota
Description: SSU rRNA
Rfam family: Eukaryotic small subunit ribosomal RNA
Source: RNAcentral
CGGGUGCACUGAUCCGGCCGGGCCUUUCCCUCUGCGGAACCCCAUGGCCUUCACUGGCUGUGCGGGGGAAGCAGGACUUUUACUGUGAAAAAAUUAGAGUGCUCCAGGCAGGCCUAUGCUCGAAUACAUUAGCAUGGAAUAAUAGAAUGGGACGCGUGGUUCUAUUUUGUUGGUUUCUAGGACCGCCGUAAUGAUUAAUAGGGACAGUCGGGGGCAUCAGUAUUCAAUUGUCAGAGGUGAAAUUCUUGGAUCUAUUGAAGACUAACUACUGCGAAAGCAUUUGCCAAGGAUGUUUUCAUUGAUAAGGAACGAAAGUUAGGGGAUCGAAGACGAUCAGAUACCGUCGUAGUCUUAACUAUAAACUAUGCCGACUAGGGAUCGGACGAUGUUAUUCUUUGACGCGUUCGGCACCUUUCGAGAAAUCAAAGUGCUUGGGCUCCAGGGGGAGUAUGGUCGCAAGGCUGAAACUUAAAGAAAUUGACGGAAGGGCACCACCAGGGGUGGAACCUGCGGCUUAAUUUGACUCAACACGGGGAAACUCACCAGGUCCAGACACAGUGAGGAUUGACAGAUUGAGAGCUCUUUCUUGAUUCUGUGGGUGGUGGUGCAUGGCCGUUCUUAGUUGGUGGAGUGAUUUGUCUGCUUAAUUGCGAUAACGAACGAGACCUUAACCUGCUAAAUAGCCCGUACUGCUCUGGCAGUUCGCCGGCUUCUUAGAGGGACUAUCGG